GGGCACCUGGCGGGUGCUUACCAUGCAAGUCGAGUGCGCGGUUGUAGCAAUACAACUGGCGCACGGCGCACGGGUGCGUAACACGUGGGCAAUCUGCCCUCCGAUGGGGAAUAACCCCGCGAAAGCGGGGCUAAUACCGCAUAACAUUCCGGGGACUCCGGUUCCUGGACUCAAAGGCGUAAGUCGUCGGAGGUGGAGCCCGCGCCCGAUUAGCUAGUUGGUGAGGUAAUGGCUCACCAAGGCAAUGAUCGGUAGCUGGUCUGAGAGGAUGGCCAGCCACACUGGAACUGAGACACGGUCCAGACUCCUACGGGAGGCAGCAGUGGGGAAUCUUGCGCAAUGGGCGAAAGCCUGACGCAGCGACGCCGCGUGAAGGAUGAAGGUCUUCGGAUUGUAAACUUCUUUUAGAGGGGAUGAAUGCCCUGGUGAAUAGCCAGGGGUGACAGUACCCUUUGAAUAAGCCACGGCUAACUACGUGCCAGCAGCCGCGGUAAUACGUAGGUGGCAAGCGUUACUCGGAAUCACUAGGCGUAAAGCGCAGGUAGGAGGUUUGGUAAGUCUGUUGUGAAAGCUCCCGGCUUAACUGGGAGAGGUCAACGGAAACUACUAGGCUAGAGUGCGGUAGAGGUAGCUGGAAUUCCCGGUGUAGCGGUGAAAUGCGUAGAUAUCUGGAGGAACACCGGUGGCGAAGGCGGCGUUCUGGACUGCAACUGACACUGAAAGACGAAAGCCAGGGGAGCAAACGGGAUUAGAUACCCCGGUAGUCCUGGCCCUAAACGAUGAAUGCUUGGUGUGGCGGGUAUCGAUCCCUGCCGUGCCGGAGUUAACGCGUUAAGCAUUCCCGCCUGGGGAGUACGGUCGCAAGGCUUGAAACUCAAAGGAAUUGACGGUGGCCCGCACAAGCGGUGGAGCAUGUGGUUCAAUUCGACGCAACGCGAAGAACCUUACCCAGGCUCGAAGUGCAGAUGACCAUCGGCGAAAGUCGACUCCCGCAAGGGCAUCUGUAGAGGUGCUGCAUGGCUGUCGUCAGCUCGUGUCGUGAGAUGUGGGUUAGUUCCGCAACGAGCGCAACCCUUUGUUUCUGUGCCAUCGGGUAAUUGCCGGGCACUCUAGCGAAACCGCCUCGAUAACGGGGAAUAGGUGAGGGAUGACGCCAGGUCCUCCAUGGUCUUUAGGUCCAGGGGCUACCCAUGGUGCUAC
Molecule: ribosomal RNA, 1200 nt
Filed under: uncultured bacterium
Lineage: Bacteria
Description: partial 16S ribosomal RNA
Rfam family: Bacterial small subunit ribosomal RNA
Source: RNAcentral